This 463-nucleotide ribosomal RNA is filed under the name barley rhizosphere bacterium LJ34. Its description in RNAcentral is "bacterial SSU rRNA". It matches the Rfam family "Bacterial small subunit ribosomal RNA", at positions 33 to 489 of the family's 1533-position model. The record is from RNAcentral.
ACGCUGGCGGCAGGCCUAACACAUGCAAGUCGAGCGGCAGCACGGGUACUUGUACCUGGUGGCGAGCGGCGGACGGGUGAGUAAUGCCUAGGAAUCUGCCUGGUAGUGGGGGAUAACGCUCGGAAACGGACGCUAAUACCGCAUACGUCCUACGGGAGAAAGCAGGGGACCUUCGGGCCUUGCGCUAUCAGAUGAGCCUAGGUCGGAUUAGCUAGUUGGUGAGGUAAUGGCUCACCAAGGCGACGAUCCGUAACUGGUCUGAGAGGAUGAUCAGUCACACUGGAACUGAGACACGGUCCAGACUCCUACGGGAGGCAGCAGUGGGGAAUAUUGGACAAUGGGCGAAAGCCUGAUCCAGCCAUGCCGCGUGUGUGAAGAAGGUCUUCGGAUUGUAAAGCACUUUAAGUUGGGAGGAAGGGCAGUUACCUAAUACGUAAUUGUUUUGACGUUACCGACAGAAUAG